RNAcentral lists this ribosomal RNA (470 nucleotides) under Oerstedia dorsalis. RNAcentral describes it as "partial large subunit ribosomal RNA". The stretch from base 166 to 470 matches the Rfam family "Bacterial large subunit ribosomal RNA", at positions 2046 to 2597 of the family's 2925-position model. The record is from RNAcentral. Lineage: Eukaryota; Metazoa; Nemertea; Enopla; Monostilifera; Oerstediidae.
AGUUUUUUGAUUAUUUUAAUUAAAAAUAUUUUCUGCUCAGUGUUUUUAAAUAGCCGCAGUAAUUUGACUGUGCAAAGGUAGCAUAAUAAUUUGUUUCAUAAUUGGGGACUAGAAUGAAUGGAAUUAUGAAAAUUUUUCUUUUUUAAUUUUUUUAUUAUAAUUUGUAGUUAAUGUGAAGAUACAUUAUUUUUUUAAAAAGACAAGAAGACCCUUUUGAGCUUUAUUAUUUUUGUAUUUUUUAUACAAUUAAUAAUUUAAUUGGGGCGAUUAAAGAAGAAAAAAUUUUUAUCUUCUUUUUAUUAUUUUGGACCAAAUUUUUUGGUUUAUAGAAUAAGUUACCAAAGGGAUAACAGCGUAAUUUUUUUUAAGAGUUCUUAUUAAAAAAAAAGAUUACGACCUCGAUGUUGACUUAUAAUUUCCUAUUGGUGCAGUAGUUAAAAUAGGUAGGUCUGUUCGACCUUUAAAAUUUU